Rhea pennata is the source of this 113-nucleotide small nuclear RNA. RefSeq annotates it as U5 spliceosomal RNA. Lineage: Eukaryota; Metazoa; Chordata; Aves; Rheiformes; Rheidae. The record is from RefSeq and is a predicted model, not a curated record. The transcript has a single exon.
AUACUCUGUUUUUUUCUUUGGAUCAUAUAAAUCUUUCACUUUUUACUAAAGAUUUCCAUGGAGAAGAACAGACAUGAGUGUUGAGGAAUUUUCUGAGGCUCCAUUUCUUUUCU